CCCUGGUAGUCCACGCCGUAAACGAUGUCGAUUUGGAGUUUGUGCCAUUGAGGCGUGGCUUCCGGAGCUAACGCGUUAAAUCGACCGCCUGGGGAGUACGGCCGCAAGGUUAAAACUCAAAUGAAUUGACGGGGGCCCGCACAAGCGGUGGAGCAUGUGGUUUAAUUCGAUGCAACGCGAAGAACCUUACCUGGUCUUGACAUCCACAGAACUUUCCAGAGAUGGAUUGGUGCCUUCGGGAACUGUGAGACAGGUGCUGCAUGGCUGUCGUCAGCUCGUGUUGUGAAAUGUUGGGUUAAGUCCCGCAACGAGCGCAACCCUUAUCCUUUGUUGCCAGCGGUCCGGCCGGGAACUCAAAGGAGACUGCCAGUGAUAAACUGGAGGAAGGUGGGGAUGACGUCAAGUCAUCAUGGCCCUUACGACCAGGGCUACACACGUGCUACAAUGGCAUAUACAAAGAGAAGCGACCUCGCGAGAGCAAGCGGACCUCAUAAAGUAUGUCGUAGUCCGGAUUGGAGUCUGCAACUCGACUCCAUGAAGUCGGAAUCGCUAGUAAUCGUAGAUCAGAAUGCCACGGUGAAUACGUUCCCGGGCCUUGUACACACCGCCCGUCACACCAUGGGAGUGGGUUGCAAAAGAAGUAGGUAGCUUAACCUUCGGGAGGGCGCUUACCACUUUGUGAUUCAUGACUGGGGUGAAGUCGUAACAAGGUAACCGUAGGGGAACCUGCGGUUG
Molecule: ribosomal RNA, 735 nt
Filed under: Klebsiella pneumoniae
Lineage: Bacteria; Pseudomonadati; Pseudomonadota; Gammaproteobacteria; Enterobacterales; Enterobacteriaceae
Description: bacterial SSU rRNA
Rfam family: Bacterial small subunit ribosomal RNA
Source: RNAcentral